UGGCCCAGUGGUUAAGCAUUUGACUGCUGACCAAAAGGCCGGUGGUUCGAACCCACC
RNAcentral lists this transfer RNA (57 nucleotides) under Loxodonta africana (African savanna elephant). It matches the Rfam family "tRNA", at positions 8 to 63 of the family's 71-position model. Rfam says of the family: Transfer RNA (tRNA) molecules are approximately 80 nucleotides in length. Their secondary structure includes four short double-helical elements and three loops (D, anti-codon, and T loops). The record is from Rfam by way of RNAcentral. Lineage: Eukaryota; Metazoa; Chordata; Mammalia; Proboscidea; Elephantidae.